This 1372-nucleotide ribosomal RNA is filed under the name uncultured bacterium. RNAcentral describes it as "bacterial SSU rRNA". It matches the Rfam family "Bacterial small subunit ribosomal RNA", at positions 28 to 1381 of the family's 1533-position model. The record is from RNAcentral.
GAUGAACGCUGGCGGCGUGCCUAAUACAUGCAAGUCGAGCGAACGGACGAGAAGCUUGCUUCUCUGAUGUUAGCGGCGGACGGGUGAGUAACACGUGGAUAACCUACCUAUAAGACUGGGAUAACUUCGGGAAACCGGAGCUAAUACCGGAUAAUAUUUUGAACCGCAUGGUUCAAAAGUGAAAGACGGUCUUGCUGUCACUUAUAGAUGGAUCCGCGCUGCAUUAGCUAGUUGGUAAGGUAACGGCUUACCAAGGCAACGAUGCAUAGCCGACCUGAGAGGGUGAUCGGCCACACUGGAACUGAGACACGGUCCAGACUCCUACGGGAGGCAGCAGUAGGGAAUCUUCCGCAAUGGGCGAAAGCCUGACGGAGCAACGCCGCGUGAGUGAUGAAGGUCUUCGGAUCGUAAAACUCUGUUAUUAGGGAAGAACAUAUGUGUAAGUAACUGUGCACAUCUUGACGGUACCUAAUCAGAAAGCCACGGCUAACUACGUGCCAGCAGCCGCGGUAAUACGUAGGUGGCAAGCGUUAUCCGGAAUUAUUGGGCGUAAAGCGCGCGUAGGCGGUUUUUUAAGUCUGAUGUGAAAGCCCACGGCUCAACCGUGGAGGGUCAUUGGAAACUGGAAAACUUGAGUGCAGAAGAGGAAAGUGGAAUUCCAUGUGUAGCGGUGAAAUGCGCAGAGAUAUGGAGGAACACCAGUGGCGAAGGCGACUUUCUGGUCAGUAACUGACGCUGAUGUGCGAAAGCGUGGGGAUCAAACAGGAUUAGAUACCCUGGUAGUCCACGCCGUAAACGAUGAGUGCUAAGUGUUAGGGGGUUUCCGCCCCUUAGUGCUGCAGCUAACGCAUUAAGCACUCCGCCUGGGGAGUACGACCGCAAGGUUGAAACUCAAAGGAAUUGACGGGGACCCGCACAAGCGGUGGAGCAUGUGGUUUAAUUCGAAGCAACGCGAAGAACCUUACCAAAUCUUGACAUCCUUUGACAACUCUAGAGAUAGAGCUUUCCCCUUCGGGGGACAAAGUGACAGGUGGUGCAUGGUUGUCGUCAGCUCGUGUCGUGAGAUGUUGGGUUAAGUCCCGCAACGAGCGCAACCCUUAAGCUUAGUUGCCAUCAUUAAGUUGGGCACUCUAAGUUGACUGCCGGUGACAAACCGGAGGAAGGUGGGGAUGACGUCAAAUCAUCAUGCCCCUUAUGAUUUGGGCUACACACGUGCUGCAAUGGACAAUACAAAGGGCAGCGAAACCGCGAGGUCAAGCAAAUCCCAUAAAGUUGUUCUCAGUUCGGAUUGUAGUCUGCAACUCGACUACAUGAAGCUGGAAUCGCUAGUAAUCGUAGAUCAGCAUGCUACGGUGAAUACGUUCCCGGGUCU